Molecule: ribosomal RNA, 1760 nt
Filed under: Favella panamensis
Lineage: Eukaryota; Ciliophora; Spirotrichea; Tintinnida; Xystonellidae
Description: SSU rRNA
Rfam family: Eukaryotic small subunit ribosomal RNA
Source: RNAcentral
AACCUGGUUGAUCCUGCCAGUAGUCAUAUGCUUGUCUCAAAGACUAAGCCAUGCAUGUCUAAGUAUAAAUGGAAUACAAUGAAACUGCGAAUGGCUCAUUAAAACAGUUAUAGUUUAUUUGGUAAACGAAAUUACAUGGAUAACCGUGGUAAUUCUAGAGCUAAUACAUGCUGUAGUGCCCGACGCAAGAAGGGCCGUAUUUAUUAGAUAUUGACCAAUGACCGUCAGGUAAUGUGGUGAAUCAUAGUAACUAGAUCGGAUCGCAUGGGCUUGUCCCGCGACAGACCAUUCAAGUUUCUGCCCCAUCAGCUUUCGAUGGUAGUGUAUUGGACUACCAUGGCUUUCACGGGUAACGGAGGAUUAGGGUUCGAUUCCGGAGAGGGAGCCUGAGAAGCGGCUACCACAUCUAAGGAAGGCAGCAGGCGCGUAAAUUACCCAAUCCUGACUUAGGGAGGUAGUGACAAGAAAUAACGGGUCGGGGUUUUGCCCCGGGACUGAAAUGAUUUGAAUGUAGAACUCUUAUCGAGGACCAAUUGGAGGGCAAGUCUGGUGCCAGCAGCCGCGGUAAUUCCAGCUCCAAUAGCGUAUAUUAAAGUUGUUGCAGUUAAAAAGCUCGUAGUUGGAUUUCUGGUAAGGGAGAAGAGAGCACCGAGUGACUACUCGAACCCUUGCCAUCCUUCUGUUAACCGUGGGGGACGUCAAAAGCCCGUACGGAGCUCAGAUAUUUUACCUUGAGAAAAUUAGAGUGUUUCAGGCAGGCUAGAGCCGGGAUACAUUAGCAUGGAAUAAUGGAACAGGACUUUUGCCUCUUCUGUUGGUCUGGGGUUGAAGUAAUGAUUAAUAGGGAUAGUUGGGGGCAUUAGUACUUAACUGUCAGAGGUGAAAUUCUCGGAUUUGUUAAAGACUAACUUAUGCGAAAGCAUUUGCCAAGGAUGUUUUCAUUAAUCAAGAACGAAAGUUAGGGGAUCAAAGACGAUCAGAUACCGUCCUAGUCUUAACCAUAAACUAUGCCGACUCGGGAUCGGGGGCGAGAAAAAUCAGCCUUCGGCACCGUAUGAGAAAUCAAGGUCUUUGGGUUCUGGGGGGAGUAUGGUCGCAAGGCUGAAACUUAAAGGAAUUGACGGAAGGGCACCACCAGGCGUGGAGCUUGCGGCUCAAUUUGACUCAACACGGGGAAACUUACCAGGUCCAGACAUAGUGAGGAUUGACAGAUUGAUAGCUCUUUCUUGAUUCUAUGGGUGGUGGUGCAUGGCCGUUCUUAGUUGGUGGAGUGAUUUGUCUGGUUAAUUCCGUUAACGAACGAGACCUUAGCCUACUAAAUAGUCGCUCCUAUCCUGAAUAGGUGAAGACUUCUUAGAGGGACUUUGCAAGCAACUGCAAGGAAGUUUGAGGCAAUAACAGGUCUGUGAUGCCCUUAGAUGUCCUGGGCCGCACGCGUGCUACACUGACGCAUACAGCGAGCAAACCGGCUCCGUGAGGCAGCUUGGUAAACAGCAAUAUGCGUCGUGCUGGGGAUAGAUCUUUGGAAUUUUUGAUCUUGAACGAGGAAUGCCUAGUAAGCGCAAGUCAUCAGCUUGCGUUGAUUACGUCCCUGCCCUUUGUACACACCGCCCGUCGCUCCUACCGAUUUCGAGUGGUUCGGUGAACCCUUCGGACCGAGGAUAGCCUCGUGCUGCCUUGGGAAGUCAGAGUAAACCAUAUCACUUAGAGGAAGGAAAAGUCGUAACAAGGUUUCCGUAGGUGAACCUGCAGAAGGAUCA